Molecule: ribosomal RNA, 492 nt
Filed under: uncultured bacterium
Lineage: Bacteria
Description: partial 16S ribosomal RNA
Rfam family: Bacterial small subunit ribosomal RNA
Source: RNAcentral
AGUGAACGCUGGCGGUAGGCCUAACACAUGCAAGUCGAACGGCAGCACAGUAAGAACUUGCUCUUACGGGUGGCGAGUGGCGGACGGGUGAGGAAUACAUCGGAAUCUACUUUUUCGUGGGGGAUAACGUAGGGAAACUUACGCUAAUAACGCAUACGACCUACGGGUGAAAGCAGGGGAUCUUCGGACCUUGCGCGAUUGAAUGAGCCGAUGUCGGAUUAGCUAGUUGGCGGGGUAAAGGCCCACCAAGGCGACGAUCCGUAGCUGGUCUGAGAGGAUGAUCAGCCACACUGGAACUGAGACACGGUCCAGACUCCUACGGGAGGCAGCAGUGGGGAAUAUUGGACAAUGGGCGCAAGCCUGAUCCAGCCAUACCGCGUGGGUGAAGAAGGCCUUCGGGUUGUAAAGCCCUUUUGUUGGGAAAGAAAAGCAGCAGGUUAAUACCCCGCUGUUCUGACGGUACCCAAAGAAUAAGCACCGGCUAACUUCGUG